GCCGCGGUAAUACGGAGGGUGCAAGCGUUAUCCGGAUUCACUGGGUUUAGAGGGUGUGUAGGCGGGUAGUUAAGUCAGUGGUGAGCUCUCCAGGCUCAUACCUGGAAAGCUGCCAUUGAUACUAUCUAUCUUGUAUAUCGUUGAGGUGGGCGGUAUAUGUCAUGUAGCGGUGCUUGCAUAGAUAUGACAUAGCACACCAAUUGCGAAGGCAGCUCGCUACACGAUCAUUGACGCUGAGGCACGAGAAGCGUGGGGGAUCACCACAGGAUUUAAGACUACCCUGGUAGUCCACGCCCUAAGACGAUGAUUACUCGACAUACGCUGAUACACAGUGUGUGUCUGAGCGAAAGCAUUUAGGUCAUCCACCUGGGAAGUACGUCCGCCAAGGUAUGACACUCAAAGGUAAUUG
This 409-nucleotide ribosomal RNA is filed under the name uncultured Bacteroidota bacterium. RNAcentral's name for it is "bacterial SSU rRNA". It matches the Rfam family "Bacterial small subunit ribosomal RNA", at positions 514 to 912 of the family's 1533-position model. Lineage: Bacteria; Pseudomonadati; Bacteroidota. The record is from RNAcentral.